Molecule: long non-coding RNA, 1407 nt
Organism: Brassica napus (rape)
Lineage: Eukaryota; Viridiplantae; Streptophyta; Magnoliopsida; Brassicales; Brassicaceae
Exons: 2
Source: RefSeq, a predicted model, not a curated record
CCUGCACACAUGUUUAUGUUUUCAAGGCUAUUAAGGUACAACUGGCGCAGCCUCCAAAGAUGGAUUUGGUUGAAAUUAAGUAUACACACCUCUUGGUGUCCAGUGUGGUUCUUCUCGAUGUGUUCUCUGUACCAGUCAAUUGAUAGCAAUUUCCUUAUCACGGAGCCAGCACCUCUUAAAUCCUUCACCGUUUCAAAGAGAGGAACCACUCGCAGUCUAUCAUGUAACAAAAACAAAUCAGCAUACCAAGUACUUAUGUCAUCAAAAUAUGUAAGACACAAGACACAACCAUUCAUGAUAGUAGGCAGACAUGCAAAUUGAUAAUGAAUGAAGUGUUCCUUCAAGAAAUUACACUCACGUUCCAGCAGGACAUGGUCUUCCCAGCUCUCCAGUGACGGCAAGACGUGCAUCUUUCUGUAGAAGUUCCACAGCGAGGACAUCACUUGCCUACAAGUUGCAACAAAUUAAUGGCAUCAUUUUUGCUGCGGAUCUAAAAUAGUUACUUGUCCACAUUAGCCUCAGAAAAGAGUUGACUGUAAAAGACUUGAUCUAUCAUACGUUUGAAGCCAUGGAAAUCACGUAAGCUCCAAGUGAUUCACUUCCUAGCUCAGCAGCAACUCGGAAAGUGUCUAGUACUUCUUUCACUUCAGGACCGACCUGCAACAGUUCAAUGAUUUUGAGGACUGUGUUGCAAACAUAACGUACAAGAGAUAAAAUGGGAGAUCACUUUUGUAUCAUACUGGGUUUCCUUGAAGUCUAACAUAAAAAAAACCCACGGUGAGUGCUCGCUGACCUCAAUAUUUGGGGGGACAAGAGGACGUUUCCCUUUCAAUUCUCUUGUCAAGAACUCAAGCUUCUUCUCUUCAUCCCAUUCACUAUAUGUGCCCAUGUCCAAGUAUGUUGUAAUUGCAUCCAAAGCUUCAGAAUGCUUUGCAGCUUCCUGAAUAAUUAAAUCUUAGAUCAGACAGAAACAACAGAAAAGGAGCCAAAACAACAAGCAAGAAAAACGUCACCUGUCGUAAAUCAAGUUUCAUCAAAACCAUGCCGAAAGUAGCAACUCUACGGAUCAAAUCAGCAAGCCGGCCAUCAGCUAGAACUCCGGAAUCAGAUGCAUGCUGAGAAAAUAGUAAUUUUCAGUUAGAAAGGUAAUGAUAUUUAAUGGGAACUCAAUUUGCAUGGAGCAAGAUCGUACCAGAGAUUCAUAGCAGAGAAGUAAUGGUUCCAGAAAUUGGUCUGAUGUUUCAUAGUAGUCCCAAGGAUCAUAUUCACAAGGAAGACCCUCAAGAAGAAGUUCCAGAAGUCUUCGUGUCUUCAAAAGCUGUAAUCACCAGAUCAUUACAAGUGAGUGGUUUUGAGCGAGAAUGUACAGUUUACCAAUAUGUUUAUAAAUUUCUGAUAUUGAGAAUA